CAACGCAGACGGUCCUCUAGACUCCCGUUUGGCAGGAACUCGUAAACCAAAGCUUUGGCAUCCCUGCACACUCCUAUCAGGGUCACAAGCUCAUUACAGAUCUGGAGGUGCUCCUUUUCAAGACGAGCCUUUUCUCUGGACUGUAUUUUGAGGCACAAAUGUACCAAAAUUAUUCAUGAUGAGAGGGAUAUGGGGAUAACAGACAAUACCAUCUUAGAAGCUUCAAAAAGAUCUCUCUCGGCUUUCUGUCGGCCCUCCAAUGCUUCCUUUCUUGAUCGCUCUAGCUCAUUGCGAUCUUGCUGCCAUUUCUCAAACAUUUCAUUCUGUCUGUUAGCUUCAACCUGUAAAUCAUCAAGGUUUGAUAUGAAUUCAGUACUUGUCCCUUCCUUACGUGAAGAAAAGGUGCACCCACGAAGGUAUCUCUAGAGAUUUCUGUCCAGUCCAGUAUAACUUACCAUGGAAUGCUGAUGCUCUUCAGAACUUGAGAUUGAAACAGGUCCUGAUGAUCCAUCAUCCAUAAUGUCCAAAUCCUUCAGAGUUGGCGAGGACACUCCAUCGCUUUGAUGUCUGGGAUUCAGAGAGGAACCUUUUGGUGCUACAUCAACUGGGUGCCGCCCUGCAGGGAUUUCUGGAAACCGGGAUACGAUGAUGGCAACGACACUGAUCUUGAAGGGAAUUCGGGCUGAUCUGACAGAGAACUCCCGGAGCUGCUUCUGGGGGAGUCUCCUUUUUCGGCAAACUGAUUGGCUUCCCUAAAAGUAGUAAACAAUCACAACAACAUCGCUUUAUCAGGAACCUUACACAACCCUGCAUGUAUGGCAACAUCGCAGGAAAUCAUGAGGAGCAGAUUUAGUUUUUGUUUUCUCUUUUGGCAGCGCAACAUGUAACACCAAACAAAUUAUUUCCUUUUUUCUGCGGGAAGUAAACAGGUAUAUCUGAUGCCUAAGAAAACAGGGGAGAGCUUUGUAUAAUUAUUUGGCAGCAAGUUCGAUUAAUGCAUAAAAAUCUAAUUGACAGAACACUACUUUGAUUAUUUUUAGGUUGAUAUGUAUCAUUGUUACCGGGCAGUCUUUUGAGAAGCAAAGGGUAUGAAAAAAAAUCUAACAAGAUCAAAUGUGUGUUAUUCUGUUUUCACUCUUGAACAGAUGAAGGUGUGCUUUUGAGAAGUUGCAGAGAAAAGCAGAAGAGUGGAAAAACAACCAUGUUGCUUGCUACGUACUUGCCUACGUGGCUGGUGGACAUGCAGCAGCACAAGCUUCUUGACAUCACUCUGCUGGGGCUGGAGCUGGAGCUGGAGUUUACUAGCUGCCC
Long non-coding RNA from Oryza brachyantha (malo sina), 1311 nucleotides. RefSeq lists it as uncharacterized. Lineage: Eukaryota; Viridiplantae; Streptophyta; Magnoliopsida; Poales; Poaceae. The record is from RefSeq and is a predicted model, not a curated record. The transcript has 6 exons.